UACAGAGGUCCCGAGCGUUGUUCGGAUUCAUUGGGCGUAAAGGGCGCGUAGGCGGCCUGCUAAGUCGAACGUGAAAUCCCUGGGCUCAACCCAGGAACUGCGUCCGAUACUGGUUGGCUUGAAUCCGGGAGAGGGAUGUGGAAUUCCAGGUGUAGCGGUGAAAUGCGUAGAUAUCUGGAGGAACACCGGUGGCGAAGGCGACAUCCUGGACCGGUAUUGACGCUGAGGCGCGAAAGCCAGGGGAGCAAACGGG
RNAcentral lists this ribosomal RNA (253 nucleotides) under uncultured bacterium. RNAcentral describes it as "partial 16S ribosomal RNA". It matches the Rfam family "Bacterial small subunit ribosomal RNA", at positions 524 to 776 of the family's 1533-position model. The record is from RNAcentral.